RNAcentral lists this ribosomal RNA (578 nucleotides) under Hanseniaspora guilliermondii. Its description in RNAcentral is "partial large subunit ribosomal RNA". It matches the Rfam family "Eukaryotic large subunit ribosomal RNA", at positions 73 to 667 of the family's 3401-position model. The record is from RNAcentral. Lineage: Eukaryota; Fungi; Ascomycota; Saccharomycetes; Saccharomycodales; Saccharomycodaceae.
GAAACCUUAGUACGGCGAGUGAAGCGGUAAAAGCUCAAAUUUGAAAUCUGGUACUUUCAGUGCCCGAGUUGUAAUUUGUAGAAUUUGUCUUUGAUUAGGUCCUUGUCUAUGUUCCUUGGAACAGGACGUCAUAGAGGGUGAGAAUCCCGUUUGGCGAGGAUACCUUUUCUCUGUAAGACUUUUUCGAAGAGUCGAGUUGUUUGGGAAUGCAGCUCAAAGUGGGUGGUAAAUUCCAUCUAAAGCUAAAUAUUGGCGAGAGACCGAUAGCGAACAAGUACAGUGAUGGAAAGAUGAAAAGAACUUUGAAAAGAGAGUGAAAAAGUACGUGAAAUUGUUGAAAGGGAAGGGCAUUUGAUCAGACAUGGUGUUUUUUGCAUGCACUCGCCUCUCGUGGGCUUGGGCCUCUCAAAAAUUUCACUGGGCCAACAUCAGUUCUGGCAGCAGGAUAAAUCAUUAAGAAUGUAGCUACCUCGGUAGUGUUAUAGCUUAUUGGAAUACUGCUAGCUGGGAUUGAGGACUGCGCUUCGGCAAGGAUGUUGGCAUAAUGGUUAAAUGCCGCCCGUCUUGAACCACGGACC